This 301-nucleotide ribosomal RNA is filed under the name uncultured bacterium. RNAcentral's name for it is "partial 16S ribosomal RNA". It matches the Rfam family "Bacterial small subunit ribosomal RNA", at positions 509 to 807 of the family's 1533-position model. The record is from RNAcentral.
CAGCAGCCACGGGAAUACGUAGAGUGCAAGCGUUAAUCGGAAUUACUGGGCGUAAAGCGUGCGCAGGCGGUUCGUUAAGACAGAUGUGAAAUCCCCGGGCUUAACCUGGGAACUGCAUUUGUGACUGGCGGGCUAGAGUAUGGCAGAGGGGGGUAGAAUUCCACGUGUAGCAGUGAAAUGCGUAGAGAUGUGGAGGAAUACCGAUGGCGAAGGCAGCCCCCUGGGCCAAUACUGACGCUCAUGCACGAAAGCGUGGGGAGCAAACAGGAUUAGAUACCCCCGUAGUCCCUGUCUCUUAUAC